Molecule: transfer RNA, 85 nt
Filed under: Felis catus (domestic cat)
Lineage: Eukaryota; Metazoa; Chordata; Mammalia; Carnivora; Felidae
Rfam family: tRNA
About the family: Transfer RNA (tRNA) molecules are approximately 80 nucleotides in length. Their secondary structure includes four short double-helical elements and three loops (D, anti-codon, and T loops). Further hydrogen bonds mediate the characteristic L-shaped molecular structure. tRNAs have two regions of fundamental functional importance: the anti-codon, which is responsible for specific mRNA codon recognition, and the 3' end, to which the tRNAs corresponding amino acid is attached (by aminoacyl-tRNA synthetases). tRNAs cope with the degeneracy of the genetic code in two manners: having more than one tRNA (with a specific anti-codon) for a particular amino acid; and 'wobble' base-pairing, i.e. permitting non-standard base-pairing at the 3rd anti-codon position.
Source: Rfam by way of RNAcentral
GCCUGGGUGGCUCAGUCGGUUAAGCGUCUGACUCUGGCUCAGCUCAUGGUCUCGCGGUCCAUGAGUUCGAGCCCCGCCUCAGGCU